ACAUAAGACAUGCAAGUCGAACGGACUUAACCAUUAGUUUACUAUUGGAGCGGUUAGUGGCGGACUGGUGAGUAACACGUAAGCAACCUGCCUAUCAGAGGGGAACAACAGUUAGAAAUGACUGCUAAUACCGCAUAUGCCUUAAUUACCACAUGGUAAUAGAGGGAAAGAAGCAAUCCGCUGAUAGAUGGGCUUGCGUCUGAUUAGAUAGUUGGUAAGGUAACGGCUUACCAAGUCGACGAUCAGUAGCCGGACUGAGGGGUUGAACGGCCACAUUGGGACUGAGAUACGGCCCAGACUCCUACGGGAGGCAGCAGUCGGGAAUAUUGCGCAAUGGAGGAAACUCUGACGCAGUGACGCCGCGUGCAGGAAGAAGGUUUUCGGAUUGUAAACUGCUUUAGACAGGGAAGAAACAAGACAGUACCUGUAGAAUAAGCUCCGGCUAACUACGUGCCAGCAGCCGCGGUAAUACGUAGGGAGCAAGCGUUAUCCGGAUUUAUUGGGUGUAAAGGGUGCGUAGACGGGAAUGCAAGUUGGUUGUGAAAUCCCUCGGCUCAACCGAGGAAUUGCAACCAAAACUAUAUUUCUUGAGUGCUGGAGAGGAAAGUGGAAUUCCUAGUGUAGCGGUGAAAUGCGUAGAUAUUAGGAGGAACACCAGUGGCGAAGGCGACUUUCUGGACAGUAACUGACGUUGAGGCACGAAAGUGUGGGGAGCAAACAGGAUUAGAUACCCUGGUAGUCCACACCGUAAACGAUGGAUACUAGGUGUAGGGGAUGAAUAAUCUUCUGUGCCGUCGCAAACGCAGUAAGUAUCCCACCUGGGGAGUACGGCCGCAAGGUUGAAACUCAAAGGAAUUGACGGGGGCCCGCACAAGCAGUGGAGUAUGUGGUUUAAUUCGACGCAACGCGAAGAACCUUACCAGGGCUUGACAUAUACAUGAAAAUCUAAGAGAUUAGAUCCCUCUUCGGAGCAUGUAUACAGGUGGUGCAUGGUUGUCGUCAGCUCGUGUCGUGAGAUGUUGGGUUAAGUCCCGCAACGAGCGCAACCCCUGUUCUUAGUUGCCAGCAUGUAAAGAUGGGAACUCUAAGAAGACUGCCGGUGAUAAAUCGGAGGAAGGUGGGGACGACGUCAAAUCAUCAUGCCCUUUAUGUCCUGGGCUACACACGUACUACAAUGGCUGUAACAAAGGGAAGCGAACCCGCGAGGGGAAGCAAAACCCAUAAAAGCAGUCUCAGUUCGGAUUGAAGGCUGAAAUUCGCCUUCAUGAAGCCGGAAUUGCUAGUAAUGGCAGGUCAGCAUACUGCCGUGAAUACGUUCCCGGGCCUUGUACACACCGCCCGUCACACCAUGAGAGUUUGUAACACCCGAAGCCGGUGGAGUAACCUUUUAGGAGCUAGCCGUCGAAGGUGGGACAAAUGAUUGGGGUGAAAU
RNAcentral lists this ribosomal RNA (1432 nucleotides) under uncultured organism. RNAcentral describes it as "SSU rRNA". It matches the Rfam family "Bacterial small subunit ribosomal RNA". The record is from RNAcentral.